GGACUCAGGCCAGGCUGGGAGUAGGCUGUCUAGCCAUUGCUGGCUGUCAUUGUCACCAAGGGAAGGGGAGAAGCUGUGAAGAGUUGCUCUGGAAAAAACAAAUCUGCUCAUAGGACAAUGGGUCUGGGUGAACCUAUCCCGGCCCUCUUGGCUGCUGGGCCAGGGCCUGGUUUUUCACAGGGCACCAUUGAGACCACAGGAAGUGGCUUCCUGCCUCUGAAGACAGCACACAACUGCCCUAGAAAGCGCUCUUGUCACCCCUGCUGGCUGAGCCAGACUCCAGGCAGCCUCCAGCCACCCGUGCCUCCGGUUCACCCCUGCCUGCCUGCCCGCCUGCUGCUGUCCUCAGCCAAGCCCUUCUGCAUUCCCCGGCUCGAGGCCCCACUGUACUACCUGCCUAGUUGGGACACUUUUGCAGGAGGGACUGUCGCCUUUCUUUUGCUGGACUUUUAUUUUUUUGAGACAGAGUCUUGCUCUGUUGCCCAGGCUGGAGUGCAAUUGCACAAUCUCGGCUCAUUGCAAGCUCCGCCUCCCAGGUUCAAGUGAUUCUCCUGCCUCAGCCUCCCUAGUUGCUAAGACUACAGGUGCGUGUCCAC
Long non-coding RNA from Homo sapiens (human), 596 nucleotides. Ensembl annotates it as long intergenic non-protein coding RNA 2685. Lineage: Eukaryota; Metazoa; Chordata; Mammalia; Primates; Hominidae. The record is from Ensembl.